UUUUCCUAACACAGAUAAUGAAAUUGAUAUCUAAAAUCAAGAGAAGAGAAGAAGCCCGAAGGGAGAAAUGAAGAAUAAAAUGAAGAUCAAACCAUACCACACCAAUUUCUCUUUUGUCCUGCUUUUGAUGAUUUUGCUCCAUUUCUCCAUAUGUAGAGCAGGUUCGGCUAAAAAGAGCAACUCAAUGAUCUCUGGGAGAUGUAAUACCGCCAUUGGCGAAUGCUUAACAGAUGAAGGAGAAGGAGGAGAAGAGUUCUUGAUGGAAUCAAAGAUGAUUAGAAGGUUUCUUGCUUCAACAAUUAGUGAUAACUCUGUAAAGAAGGGUGCGGUAUGUAAUGCAAUGCGGUACGACAAUUGCAUGUUGCUCGCCAAUAAAAAUAGUCGGCAUUGUACCACCUACGAUCACUGCCAAUGCAGUCCCCGUCCCCGCUGAAUUGAUGAUCAAGCCACAAUCGUCUUUUCAUGUGAUGUCGUGAGUAAUCUGGAACAUAUGGGAGAAUUUCAGGCCUCUUGGUUCUUCUUGAUUCGUUUUUCUUGUUUUGUGAUUGUAAUAAUGCGUGUAUGUCUUUAAAUAACAGUGUGAUUAAAUGUCACAAUCAUCCUUAUUAUUAUCUCC
Molecule: non-coding RNA, 616 nt
Organism: Camellia sinensis
Lineage: Eukaryota; Viridiplantae; Streptophyta; Magnoliopsida; Ericales; Theaceae
Source: RefSeq, a predicted model, not a curated record